Long non-coding RNA from Equus asinus (donkey), 1732 nucleotides. The record is from Ensembl. Lineage: Eukaryota; Metazoa; Chordata; Mammalia; Perissodactyla; Equidae.
CUCGCUUUCAGAAGCAUGGUUCCUGGGGUGAGAGGAUUGCUGAUUGGCUGAUUUUCAGAACAAAAUAGUUGACGAUCGUAGGAAGCAAGUGUGGAAGCAGGGCGACCAGUGAGGAGAUGGCUGCAGAGACCCAGCUGGGAGCUGAUGCUGGCCUGGCCUGGAGUGGGGGCAAAUAGAGAAUUUACAGGAAUACAUUCAUAUAUUUCCCGUGUAAUUUAAAACGAUUAAAAAGGUCCCUCAAUGAUGUGCAGAGGAAGGCUGGUGCCGACUGUCUGACUCCAGGUCAGCCCGCACUGCCCUGUGGCCCCGGAGCUGCCCUUCUCCAGAUGAUGAGCUCCAGGGUCAUUCUGAGUCACUACUGCCUUUGUCUCGAUCUCAGGGUUGAGUGGCCUCCCAGUUGUCAUGGUGCUGUUUUUUGACCCAAGGAUGGAGACCUGACUCAAGCCUAUCAAUCAGAGUGCUUCCCUGGGAAGUUGGACCAGGAACUGAUGAUUGGAGCUCUAACAUGGAACCUGUACCAUGGGUGGCCAUGGUGUUCUGCUCUGUGGGUCAGAAAAGCAGAUGGAGCUGAUCUGCAAAGCGAAAGAUAAGAACGAAGCACAUGUGUAGGCUUAGAGCAGAAGAGCUGAAACACGGAGAGUCCUGCUGGGGUUUGAGUUUCUGGUUGCAAUACAUAUUUGCCCCAGUUAAAGUCCCGUCCUUGGGUCCUGUGAGAUAUCCUGGAUCCUUAUCAUAAAUGUCAACUUUUUUCACUCCAUCUAACUCAAAUGUGUUUCUGACUACCAAAAGAGUCUGAAUAAUUUGUACUUCAAAUCUACUUCUAUCACCUCAGGUCUAAGCAGAAAUAGAUUUUCCAUGAAGUUCAUGAAGCUUAAGUUUCAGAGUUUCUCACUCACAAAGGCCCCUUCCAAAGCCCCAUUUUGUAUUUGUACUUUUUUUGUUUUAAGAUUGGCCCUGAGCUAACAUCUGUUGCUAAUCUUCCUCUUUUUUUUUCCUCCCCAAAGCCCCAGUGCAUAGUUGUACAUCCUAGUUGUAAGUGAUUCUAGUUCUUCUAUGUGGGACACUGCCUCAGCCUGGCUUGAUGAGCAGUACUAGGUCUGUGCCAGGGAUCCAAACUGGUGAACCCCUGGGCUGCCAACGUAGAGCAUGCAAACUUAACCACUUGGCCAUGGGGCUGGCCCCAGUACUUUUGUUUUCUUUUUCUUAAAGAGGGUGCCCCAAAUUGUAUAAGUUUCAGACCACAUAAAAUGUGGAUUUGCCCUGUGUAUGCUUUCCUCUCUGUAGUUGCAAAGGUUGGGUGAUUUCAGGAAGGCUCGUCCUCCAUAACACCAAACUCACGGCAACGUUAGGGCCUUUGGCGAGUCUCCUCUACCUGCAAGGUUUCUCCCCCAGACCUUUGCAGAGUUGGCUCCUUCUUAGGGAUCAGGUCUUACCUUCAGUGUCAUUGCCUCCAAGAGGCCUUCCCUGUAUACUCAGUCUAAGGAGUUCUGGGGUCUCUAUCACACCAUCCUCUUUAAUUUUCAUGACAAUUUCUCGUUUAUUCAUUUAUUUCCUUUUUGUCCAUCUCCUCCUGCUCUUUCUAAAAUGAAAGUACUGUAAGAGCAGGAACCCUGUCUUCUUUACUACUGUAUUCCCAAGCAUCUAGAAGAGCGCCUGGCACAUUGUAGGCCUUCAGUAAACAUGUGUUAGGAUUAUAUUUAUUUAUCAGAUAGUAAAGUGCUUGUGUGCUGGG